UACGUAGGGGGCAAGCGUUGUCCGGAUUUAUUGGGCGUAAAGAGCGUGUAGGCGGCCAAGCAGGUCCGCUGUGAAAACUCGAGGCUCAACCUCGAGACGUCGGUGGAAACCGUUUGGCUAGAGUCCGGAAGAGGAGAGUGGAAUUCCCGGUGUAGCGGUGAAAUGCGCAGAUAUCGGGAAGAACACCGAUGGCGAAGGCAGAUCUCUGGGCCGUAACUGACGCUGAGGAGCGAAAGCAUGGGGAGCGAACAGG
RNAcentral lists this ribosomal RNA (253 nucleotides) under uncultured bacterium. RNAcentral describes it as "partial 16S ribosomal RNA". It matches the Rfam family "Bacterial small subunit ribosomal RNA", at positions 524 to 776 of the family's 1533-position model. The record is from RNAcentral.